AGAGUUUGAUCCUGGCUCAGAGCGAACGCUGGCGGCAGGCUUAACACAUGCAAGUCGAGCGGGCAUAGCAAUAUGUCAGCGGCAGACGGGUGAGUAACGCGUGGGAACGUACCUUUUGGUUCGGAACAACACAGGGAAACUUGUGCUAAUACCGGAUAAGCCCUUACGGGGAAAGAUUUAUCGCCGAAAGAUCGGCCCGCGUCUGAUUAGCUAGUUGGUGAGGUAAUGGCUCACCAAGGCGACGAUCAGUAGCUGGUCUGAGAGGAUGAUCAGCCACAUUGGGACUGAGACACGGCCCAAACUCCUACGGGAGGCAGCAGUGGGGAAUAUUGGACAAUGGGCGCAAGCCUGAUCCAGCCAUGCCGCGUGAGUGAUGAAGGCCCUAGGGUUGUAAAGCUCUUUUGUGCGGGAAGAUAAUGACGGUACCGCAAGAAUAAGCCCCGGCUAACUUCGUGCCAGCAGCCGCGGUAAU
This 472-nucleotide ribosomal RNA is filed under the name soil bacterium RFS-I20. Its description in RNAcentral is "bacterial SSU rRNA". It matches the Rfam family "Bacterial small subunit ribosomal RNA", at positions 8 to 524 of the family's 1533-position model. The record is from RNAcentral.